Cygnus olor (mute swan) is the source of this 2500-nucleotide long non-coding RNA. RefSeq lists it as uncharacterized. Lineage: Eukaryota; Metazoa; Chordata; Aves; Anseriformes; Anatidae. The record is from RefSeq and is a predicted model, not a curated record. The transcript has 4 exons.
ACAACCAAAGUCUCUUGAAGUGCUUUCAAGCAUUCUGUGAGAUCCAUGUCUUAAAGCAUCUUCUGACAAAAUCCUAGUGUUGUUCCAAAGGUUUCCAUUACACACCUGUAGUUGAGUUUUUUCCUCAAAUUGAGAUCAGCUGAAGGGUCUUUAUGCAGCUAGUUCACAAGUGUUGCUGGCUUACAGGGAAACCUGAUGUGAUAGAAGAGCUGCAAAGUCAUAACAAACAGCUGUAGCACUGCCUUAGUUUGGUUUCUGUCUAAAUAUAAAGAAGGCGAGAACAGCCUGAGGAAACAACACUAAGUAUUUGCUCCAGCCAGCAUACUCUUCUGCUAUAUGACAUCCUUUCCUCCAUUCACCAAGGGGCAAUUUUAAAAGUAUCCUUCCCAUGAAGGAUUUCAUCAGAGAAAUCCACGAUUACAGGAUGGUCCGCAGUUUCUCUGCAGUAGAGCCUCAGCUCUUCUCAAUACCAGUGAAAUUAUCUGGGACUUCCUGACAUGGCAGUUGCAUGAAAAAAUGGUUAAAUAAAGAAAGGCUGCUUCCUCUGUCUUCUCUGAUGCAUUUUUGGCAGCAGCUACUUCAAGACGUGCCAAAUAAACACCAACUCCACAAAAGAGCUACAGGGAAGCAUUUAAGGGAGCAUGAAAUGGUACUGGAAACUGAAAACCAAGAAAUCAGAUGGUGGAGAAUAGUUGAGUGACUAAUGUUCUUCGGUGCUAUUUUGGCAGCAGGCUUGCAAUCAUCCCUAUAGAAAUGAAGGAGGUAAAUUUACGGUCAAAGAAAGAAGGGUCUUCAGGACCUUUCAUUCUACAAAUGGGAUUUAAGGCAAGCUGAGUAAAUUGUUCUCACUUGUUUCUAGCAGAAAUGAGCUUUCGCUUGUAUAAGAAUUUUGCCAUAAAGGCAUAGAUGCUCCAGUUAUAUAGUUAAAAAUGCAACUGCAACUUUAAAGGUGAGAGAACAGAGACGAAGAGAUGAGCAAGCAGAGAUCAGACUACUUUGUUACUAACUCACCAGGAGACCAUUUUUCCCUCUUCAGGAUACAUACAGCGCAUGUUUAAGGGAGUUAAUUUAAGGGGGGAUUUCUGUAUCCUGCAGGAAGAGAAUUGGCCCCACAGGGUCGUUAAAUAGACCAGGGUACAAGUUAUGACUGGUCAGCUACCACAUUCUUCUUUUAUCUUCCCUGGCAGAUUCUUUCAUGUAUAAACUCUGAGGGCAAUCCUGCUCCUUUAUUUCUGCCUUGAGAGACUCCUCAGGAGUCCACACUUUUACCUGGCCCAGUCUUCACCAGAAGUGGUCCCAACUACUUCCAUUCCCAUGAUGUCCUUUCCUUAGGUAGGAAUUUGCCUGCUCUUUUUCUGAAGCUCAAGCAGGAUUAAUAGUUAGUUGUCAGACAUAGCCAUAUGGUAUGGAGCUCAAAAUGCUCUAACUGCCUGGGUAUUUAUUUACCUGGGGCUCUGAGCUCCGCAUUGCUAUAGCUAUGUCACCAUCAGUUCUCAAAAUAGCUAGUUUAAUGCUAGGUCGAGUACAUCUAACCAGGUAGCAGUCAUACAUUUGUUGACUGAAGAGACAUACUUUACAGGUUAUGCUGUCAUUACGUGCUAACCUUGGAUUAAAUAAACCCAGUAAAUGGAGGCUAGAGUGCCCUAACUUGCUACAUUGCAGUCCUUCUAUUAUUAACUAUGCUGCUGAAUGUGUGAAAGUGUGGGGGCUUAACAAAAACUUGAUAGAAGCAAAGCCCUGUGGUAGCUGGCAAUGACAGAUUAACCUUUCCCUUGCUGCAGAAUUUGCACAACAUACUCUCAGGCAGUGCCACUGGAACAAAGCAGAGCAGUACAAGAAACAUUAUUAUGGGUAUAAAAAAGGAUUGUCAACAAGCACUGUCAUUCAAAUCACCUUAGGAGAGAGAAGGGCUUAGCACCAAUAAGAAACUCCAAAGUGAAGGUCUCACUUGAGGCAAGAGGAAGAGUGAGAUAACUGGUGGCAAGAAACAGUACAGAAGAUGAGAAUGAGUGGAGGAAAAGAAGGUAAAUUCUGGACUGUUUGACGACAAGGUGUGCACAUCUAGUGUCCUGAGGAAUGAAUGCUGAGAGGAUAUGUAGGAACUGCCAAAGCAAUGUGUUGUAUUUGAGGACUGUGGGCCAUCUCCAUGGAGAAUAUGUCAGAAACACCAUCCACCUCAGCAUCCUGAGGUUGCUGAAAUCUGGCAGGGCAAUUUUGAAAUAUGAAGGGACAGUCCCGGUGAUCGUUCAUGGAAAAUGCGUGGUCAGGGAGAUAUGGACGACUUAGCAGAAACACAAAUGUUGUGGUCCAGGAUGUGCUUUGUUCUGGGACAGCAGAAACUGUGGAAUACCAUCUUACAGAUUUUGCUGUUCCUGGGCAAAAGAAGUUAGGAUAAGCUUAUUAAGAUGACGUCACUCUGAUGGCCUAGUAUACCCUUCAGCACCACCAAGAGUUAAGAGAAAUCAGAUUUACUCCAAGUUAUCACACUUCAUUUUUUCCC